AGCCUCUACUGCCAUACCACCAGUGUCCACCUCUGGUGUCAUAGGCCAACGUCAUAAAAUAGAAGGCAUUACUUUUGGAAUAUCCUUUGUAGAAACUAGUCUUGCCUGGAAGAAAAGACUUUAGAGAGUAUUACAGUAAAGGUAUACAGACAACAAAGAAGAAAUGCAAAAUGAUGUGAAUGCAACCUUGAACCAAGCACAUUGAUGAUGCAGGAGUUCACUGUCAUUCUGUUAAGGGUGGACAGUGUGGUGACUCUGGAUAGGGAGAGAAAUCAACCAGCUGGCAUAUGUCAUCUGUGUUUCAGAAAUAAAGGGAGAGAAGUGAGGAGCCCUCAGUGACUAUCCUGGAGUUUAAAGUUCACCAGAAUAGCUGGUGAACUUCGAGUGUUCAGAAGUGGAAAAGGGAGUGGACAUCCCAAGAAGAACAGAGAGAUAUUUUCUGUGUGUACAGAGGUGAAGCAAACCAGUGUUCAACUGGACUUGAAAACAAUGAAGGAUGUGAAGGAUGAGAAGAGGCUGACAGCUUGUUAUAGUGUGGCUUCAGACAAAACAAAAUGAGGAAAUGCACUACUCUCCUUGUCAAAGAACUGAGAUUCAAAAGUUGCUAUUUCUACUUUCUGAGACAAUAAGCGAUAGGACACAAUGAAAGGUUUCAAGUUGAGCAGAGAGGAAUUUCUUCAUGGUCAAGCUUUGGAAGAUGCUAUCCAGGGAAGUGAUGAAGUCUGCAUCCCUAGGAGACCUGAGGAGUCCCAGGCUUUACAAAAUGGAGUGAUUCACAGCAGAAGCCACAACAGAGACCACAAUAUGAGAAAGAGCAAAAGAGGAGGAAAGGCAAUGCGAAGGGGAGAAAAAAGGGAAAGAGAUGGUGAGCUCACACCAAGGACAGAUGAAAUAAAUACUUUUCAU
Molecule: long non-coding RNA, 906 nt
Filed under: Gallus gallus (chicken)
Lineage: Eukaryota; Metazoa; Chordata; Aves; Galliformes; Phasianidae
Description: lncRNA (ENSGALG00000049734.2)
Source: RNAcentral